This 624-nucleotide long non-coding RNA is filed under the name Capsicum annuum. RNAcentral's name for it is "long non-coding RNA (CANN_LNC001490)". Lineage: Eukaryota; Viridiplantae; Streptophyta; Magnoliopsida; Solanales; Solanaceae. The record is from RNAcentral.
AAAAAAAGGAGGAAGUUUCCAGGAAAGGUGGAAAAAGACACCUCACUGGUGGACCCCACAAUCCUUGAAUAUAAUGCCAUUUCUUGGAAUUGAAUAAGGGUGGUUAUUUUAUUUUUUUCCAGGAUAUACAUACAUCUAUCCAUAUCAUAAAGAGGGGGCCCACAGGGAAGGGAAAGUAGCUUCAUUUUUCUUUUUCCAUUCAUCAUCACCGGGAACCAAAAAUAGGAAGGAAACCAUUUUUGUUUUCUGUCUUUUUCUUCUUCUUAAAGGCUAUGUAUUGAACCCAUUUUUCUUCUCCAUUUUGGCACACAUACACUUGGAAAACACACGCACAUGAGAUAUACAGUGAAAUAACAAGAUAAAGAAGUGAAAACUGGCAUGAGAAUUGAAAAAAAGAUGAAUUUUGAACUUUCGGUUACUGUUUCGGCAAUGCCUUCGCCAGAAACGUAUCAUAAGCCACCGAAUCUAUCAAAAAAUCACUGAAAAAGGGGGUCAUUGGCUGACAUCUGACGUCUCUGGUUGGAAAAACAUUUUCUCAAUCAUCUUCUCUUCUGUUUCAUCAAAAUAUCAUUAAAUGUUCUAGUUUGUUCUAUUGUUAUUUGGUUUUGAUCUUAUCAAUAAUCG